Molecule: ribosomal RNA, 207 nt
Filed under: uncultured bacterium
Lineage: Bacteria
Description: partial 16S ribosomal RNA
Rfam family: Bacterial small subunit ribosomal RNA
Source: RNAcentral
AGCGUAGGCGGACAUUUAAGUCAGGGGUGAAAUCCCGGGGCUCAACCUCGGAAUUGCCUUUGAUACUGGGUGUCUCGAGUAUGAGAGAGGUGUGUGGAACUCCGAGUGUAGAGGUGAAAUUCGUAGAUAUUCGGAGGAACACCAGUGGCGAAGGCGGCUUACUGGUCCAUUACUGACGCUGAGGUGCGAAAGCGUGGGGAGCAAACA